RNAcentral lists this long non-coding RNA (5180 nucleotides) under Sus scrofa (pig). Its description in RNAcentral is "lncRNA (ENSSSCG00000059507.1)". The record is from RNAcentral. Lineage: Eukaryota; Metazoa; Chordata; Mammalia; Artiodactyla; Suidae.
CAGAGCUUCCUACUCUAUUUUCUCAGAAAUCAUAGCUGCUAUUAUUGUUUCAACACCUAGCUUCUUAAAGCCAACACACCAAAUGGAAAACAAAACUAAGCAGUUAAAGAUUGAUGAUUUAGUUUACUUUCCAACAAACAUCUGGGCAUUUGGAACAUCUGGAUUAUUUGCUUUGAAACUUUCCAUUUUCAUCUGGUUUGGUGUUAGGGCUACUAAUUAUGCCUUAUUUAUCUGGGGACAUGUGCCAAGCCCUGGUCAGACUGUGACUGAAAGGAAGCUGCCAAUCAACCAAAUGUGGAAAUGACCCUGGGUUUAGCAGCUCAUAAACUUAAUUUUUUUUUUUUUUUUUUAAGACUCAAAAAUCCCUAUCUUCAUAGAGUUUAGGUUCCUUGAAGUACAAGAUGGCAUUUAAACUCAGACCUGAUGGAUGAAUAAGGUAGGCAGAAAUCUGGGGACAGGACACAGAUAUCGGGUCUCUUUCACAUCACACAAUAGCUAUGAAGGCAGGAGAAAGUGUGCUUUGGGGGAGCUUCCAGUAAUUGGGCCUGGCUGGAGUACAAAGCAGGAGGCUGGGAGUGAUGAGUGGAGGGACAGAGACAGAGAGGGACUCAGAUUGAGAAACAUCCAGAAAGACAGAAAAACACAGAAACUGGCAGAAAUAGAGAUGGAGACAGAGCAAGGCAGAGAAACUGUCUGAGAUGGAAAACCAGAAAAAUAACAGAACAGAAAGAUCUGAUAAGGACAAUGUGACAGCUGCUGUGAAGUCACCUCCUCCUGGUCCUACAUUCUUGGGGGCUUUAUUUUGACCCAGGAAACUUUUUAAACUUUUGUAAAAGAACAUUUGGAAAGGACUGAAAAAUAAAAAAAGAGAUGAAGAAAAUUACCCAUUUUUUAUUAUCAAUUAUAGUCACUAUUCAUUUUAGUAAUAUUUUCAUCUUGUCAGCUUUUUUCUAUAUGCAGUCUUAUUAAAACAUGGUUCUUAAAAUAAGAUAUACAUUUCUUAUCUAUAUUUUGUUUCCUUAUAUAGAAAAUCAGCACUUUUAUGUUAAUAAAAUACAAAAAUACUAUUUUAAUUACUAUAUUAAUUAUAUGGCUACACCAUAAUCUACUUAGUUAAUUUUCUAUUGUUGGUUCUUAUUUGACAGUUACUAAGAUUUGGCUGUAUAAACAGCUUUUAGCUUAUGCUUUUUCUGGAUUUGGAAUUCUUUAUUGAUAACUACCCAGAGUUGGAAUUGACUAUGACAUCUGGAAAUGUUUCAAUUAACCAGAUCUUACAGGGACUCAUAUCUUCCAUUUUCCCCAGGAGGCCAAAAUUGACACCUGAAUUGUGAUAUUGAUGCUAAAAUGAUUUAUCACUAGAAAAAUUUAAAAUACCUAUUAUUUCAUGUUCUAAAUUACUUUUUUUGUCUGCCUGAAAGAAAUGAUCCUGUAAUAAGUGAUUUCCUUUCAUUUGCCAUCAAAAGCUUAUAUAAUGAAGUAUAUUCUUCAUUUCCUGUCUUCUCUUAAAUGACUAACAUGGGCCAGAUAACUCAGAGUCAGAGUUUGGGUCCAUCAGCUUGAACUGUACGUUUUCUUGGUGGUUUUAGAUUGGAAAAAUAUCUAGAGAGGGUAGGAAAUGGGGAGGGGCAUUGCAGCUAAAUUCUUAGGGAGAACCAGAGUUUAAGGUAGGGAAAGUUGUUAUAUUGUCAAGUCAAAAGGGAGGAAGACAGUGGUAGCUCUAAAAUUUCUUCUUAAAAGACAAUUUAAAACAUGGUAUUUUGUAGUUCAAUUGAAAUUUAGAGACAGGACAGUUCCAGGAUUGUACCGUGGAUCAGUGGUAUUACUUAGGAUCUAGGCUUUCUAAGUUCUUACUGUAUAAUACCCAGCUUGCUGGCUUUGUCCUUUUAUGCUUGUCUACUCAAGGUCACAAGAUGGCAUCACUUCUUUAUCCCAAGGGGUCCUGAAGCUUCCAAAAACAUCACAGGCAGGAAGAAUUAAAAGAGGUAUCUCUUUUUCCUACCAGAGAGAAAAAUAUUUUCUAGACGCCUCUAGCUGACUUAGCCUAAGAUGCCAGUGGACAGAACUAGAUCUUGAGCCAACCACUAACCUGGUAGACUUGAGCCAAUCACCAGUCUCUGGAGAAGGGGAAGUGGCUCAUCUUUUCUGAGCAUUUUGCUGCCCAUUACCAGAUCAAAAGUGGGGUUCUUUUAAUAAAGAUAGCAUUGGCUACAGCCAGCAUCCUGGUUAAAGGAGGAGACCAAGUGAUUUCUUUAUGUUGUUUUGAAUAAAAAGAAACAAAUUUCUUUCUUAAAUUUUGAAUUUCCUCUUUCUUAGGGUAACUUGUUUGUGUGAAAGAAAGAGGGCCAGGAUGAGUAUUACAAGCAGCUAAACUUCUCCCAAAGGCACUUCAUAGCUCCUCCACAGAAAGAUGGGGAAACAAGCUCAACACUCCAAAGGCAUUCAGGUGACAUAGGAGAGGAGUAGUAGAUGUUGAAGUGAAAGAAAGAAGUUUGGGGUAAUUUCUAUGAACAAUGUUGGCGAUUAUACGGCAUCAUAAGAACUGUCUUCUGAAGUAUGCUACAUCAGCCUGAUAUAAAGGUUCAGAGUGAGGAUAGCAGUAAAUAACAAGAGUAAAAAAGAGUGGUUCAGUUUUUUUUAUCAGGUUGUUUAAAAUAUUGGAACUGUUUAUGGAACCACGGAAGUUUGAAAUCCUAGGAUAAGAAAUCAUGGAAACCGCAGCCAGUUCUCUUGCUUCUUUCACGCCCAACUAAAUAACUAGAGAGGCUUUGAGGCUCACAUGACAGCGUAAAAAAUUUGGUUUACUAUAAAGGAUGCUUCUUUUAUUCUCCUACAGUAGAUGUCAUCUCUUCUUGCAAGCCUGCCCUGAUUUUAACUUUGCGUGGAAUGUCUUCGUGCCCUUUGCUCACCACUGAGGUUACAUUUAUCAGUCGUAUGACUAUAGCCUGCAUUCUGAUGCCAGGAACAUGGUAGUUACUAUAUGAAUAAUGGAGAUCGGAUUAACAAGUAAAUGAAAAGAAUGAAUUAAAUAAACAACAGCAGGAAAAAGAAUUCUCUUUGUUCUUUCAGAAGAGUCAUCAGAAUAAUCAGCGUAGAUUUUAAAAAUAAACAUAGACAAUAAAUUUUCUUGAAUAUUCUCUUUCAUCUCUUGUAACUCUGUUUAAAUAAACCCUUUUUUUCUAAUGCAGUGGAACUUCACCGAGCCUUGAAAUUAACAGCUAAGUAUUCAAAAAAUAAAAGGGGACAGAUUGUGUUAUCAGAUUUGUGCCCUGAAACCAACCAUCCCCUGCCUCUUCUGUAUAGUUAUAAAGACCUAAAUAUGUUUACAAAAGCCUGUUUACUCAAUCUGUGUGCUAAUAAAGACGGAAGUCUGGAAUUUGACCUUUCUGUUUAAACACAUUUCAUUGAAAUAUGUUUGGCUUUUUAAUCUCAACAUUAAAUAAGAUAAUUUUUGAAUAUGAAUUGCUUAAAAAUUUUCUCAAACUUCCAAUUGUAUUUGGUAUACUGGACACUCCCAGAAUCCUGGCUAAUUUUUGAUAGUACUUUUACAAUUUUUGUCUCUAUAGUCUAUAUAAUAAUAGCAUGUUUAUGCCAAGUAUGGAGUCAGAUGGUUACAAAAGAUAUGAAUAUGGUUAGUGUUGUGGGUUUAAUUCUUGGUAAAUUUUGCAUAAAAUAAAUAUUGUUAUAGCUACACAGAGAACCUUUUAAUACAGGACAGUAUCUUGGAAAAAGCACUAGCUAAGGAGUCAUAAAAAUCAAGAUUAAGUUCUGGCUUUAUCUCAGAUCAUUCAUUCAUUCCUUCUAAGCCUUAAUAUCCUUCUCAAGAAGCUAAAGAUGAUAUAGCUCUUACCUAUCUCAUUAGUGGUUUUGAUGAUGAGGUGACUGUGUCAAAGAACUUUAAAGACUUUAUAAAAUUGCCAAGUAUUAUAAAAUUAGUCACGGAAGGUAUAGUAAGACCAUUUAUAAUCAAAAGGGGAAAAAAAAAACCCUGAUAGGUCAGUAGAAUCAUAUUGAUGUAUGAGGACAGUGCUUACAUUUUUUAUAAAGAAAAAUCAUUGAUUAAAUAUAGUGUAUUUUCCAUCUUGCCUUAGCUGUUACUUCCUUUGUGAUUUGAUCAGAGAAGAUGUGAACUUAAGCCAUCAUCUAGGACAAAGGAUCCAAAGUUUGCUACACAUUUAAGAAAUAGUGAGGAAAAUAAAACCUAGAGAUAUAAAGAGAAAGUGGAAGGUUGGGAAAGAAAUCUAUUUCUAUUAAAUAGUGCACAUAAUCUCUUUGAAAUGUGUCUGUCUGGGGGGGAGGGAAGAGGAAGCCGAAGAAAGUAGAAAUAAGAGCACACUGGCUUUUGAUCGCUGGGGAUGAAGUAGAGCUAUUUAAUCUCCAGAUUGCCCUCAUACUGUGUGCAUCUAUUGUGCUGUGGUUGAACUCUAACAGGCAGUUCUGUUGUGCCUGUUAAUUUCAGCACAGUGUGAAUUGCCCCUUUACUUACAGGGAAUAGUUAGUUCAAUUGAUGCACAUUUCACUGAAUCCACAAAUCAAUAAACCACUUGGAAAGAAGUAAAGUGUGAAUCUUCCUGUCUGGUCUCCUGAUAGGAGAGACAAAGAAUGGCAAUGAGAUCUGAAAUCCCCAACCGGGAGUUAAUCCUGCUUUCACUUGUCUGGUUUAGCAGAUGACGUCAAUUGGCAAAGGCUUAUGAAUGUUAUCUCUAUAACCCUCUUUCUGCAGGCCUCUGGCUCUUCCAGCAGAGUGUCUAAGGACUGGUGUACAAUUUCACCUCAUAUCUUGAGACUAAGUGGAAAUGGUUUUUAACUUAUAGUGCAACUGGGCAAGGGACAGGACCUGAUGGAACCAAUCCAAUUACAGUUUCUGAAAUAUGAAGAAGUCUGCUGGGUAAGACACAAGAUCAUGGAAUAUGGUAAUCUUUGGGCGUAGUCCAAACCAUGGACAAAAACCAGUCUAUAUCAAGUCAUGGGGCCAAGAAUUGAGCUAGGGUUGAGAGGCAGGAAUUCAGGAAUGGGUGCCAAGGCAGUAGUCCAUUUUAUCAGCCAGAGCUCUCUAUUGAAAGCAGCAAAAACUUAUGCUGGCCAUCUAAAGGAAAAAGGAUUUAUUAUAAGGUGAUCAGGGACUUGGGAAAUUGAUUGGAGAUUGGGGAACCUGACUUUGGGAAAAAAAAAAGCAGGAUCGU